AACGAACGCUGGCGGCAGGCCUAACACAUGCAAGUCGAGCGCGCCCUUCGGGGUGAGCGGCGGACGGGUGAGUAACGCGUGGGAACGUGCCCUUUUCUACGGAAUAGCCUCGGGAAACUGAGAGUAAUACCGUAUACGCCCUUUGGGGGAAAGAUUUAUCGGAAAAGGAUCGGCCCGCGUUGGAUUAGGUAGUUGGUGGGGUAAUGGCCUACCAAGCCGACGAUCCAUAGCUGGUUUGAGAGGAUGAUCAGCCACACUGGGACUGAGACACGGCCCAGACUCCUACGGGAGGCAGCAGUGGGGAAUCGUAGACAAUGGGGGCAACCAUGAUGUAGCCAUGCCGCGUGAGUGAUGAAGGCCUUAGGGUUGUAAAGCUCUUUCAGCUGGGAAGAUAAUGACGGUACCAGCAGAAGAAGCCCCGGCUAACUCCGUG
This 433-nucleotide ribosomal RNA is filed under the name uncultured bacterium. Its description in RNAcentral is "partial 16S ribosomal RNA". It matches the Rfam family "Bacterial small subunit ribosomal RNA", at positions 29 to 507 of the family's 1533-position model. The record is from RNAcentral.